GGGUUAUCUUUGCAUGAAGUUCCCGCUACAGCCGCGCAGUCGGCCGUUUGCUGUCGGCGGUUGAGGAGCUGUGUACAAGCAGUUGCUGCGGGCUGGUCCCAGUACGUUGCACCGACGGCGAUGGACUGUGUUCGUAGUAAUCAACGCGACAGAUUGCUGAGCAGAUUGAGGACUAAGCUGAUAAAUUUCCUUCGCGUAAGGAAACAUGAAUAAGCCGACGAGAAUGAACGCCACAAUUAGGCCAUCGCCAGCCUCAGCUAAGUACCGCAAAAUGAGGUAUAGUAACAGGCCUGAAAAGGAGAAAAGGCCGAAAACUGAUGAUCCGGCAUCUGGCCACACUCCAAAGAAAGCGAAAAUGGAAGCCCCCAUCAAUAACAACGAAGAAACUGAACCUAAACGGGAAAUAACUGCUCAAAAAGUUGAAGAAAAUUCAUGUAAUGAAUCUGGAAGCAUUUAAGUACAUCAUUUUAUUAUGAACUUAAAGUAAUUAUAUGCACUGAACUAAUGGUUAAUUCUUAUGGUUUCUGUGAUAAUUUAAGGAAAUAUCACUUCUGUCAUACAGUUUCAGGUUUUCUUUCCAGUCUUUAGGUUUCACUCAAUUAUUGUAACAUCAGACCAUACUAUUAAUACCAGAAAUACAUCAUAUUUGGGAAUUUUUUGAUGUAUGGAGGAUAAGUUUACACUUUACCUUCAGAUUUUUGCCUAUAUACAUGCAAGUGAAGCGAGUUUCCGUGUAAUAUUGCUUACAUUCGCAUACUGCUUGAUGUGGUCGGACUUAGGCUGAGAAAAAGGGCUCUGAAAUGGAGUGCCUUCCAAAAUGUGAUGAGAAUACUUACGUUGAAAUGACCUCUUAUUGUUCGGUGCAUGUUCAUACACAGACUAAAUCUGUAAUUUGCAUUGCAUGAAAUAAAUGUAUAUUCCACUGCA
Schistocerca gregaria is the source of this 927-nucleotide long non-coding RNA. RefSeq lists it as uncharacterized. The record is from RefSeq and is a predicted model, not a curated record. NCBI's taxonomy places the organism in Eukaryota, Metazoa, Arthropoda, Insecta, Orthoptera, Acrididae. The transcript has 2 exons.